UACGAAGGGGGCUAGCGUUGCUCGGAAUCACUGGGCGUAAAGCGCACGUAGGCGGAUUGUUAAGUCAGGGGUGAAAUCCUGGAGCUCAACUCCAGAACUGCCUUUGAUACUGGCGAUCUCGAGUCCGGGAGAGGUGAGUGGAACUGCGAGUGUAGAGGUGAAAUUCGUAGAUAUUCGCAAGAACACCAGUGGCGAAGGCGGCUCACUGGCCCGGUACUGACGCUGAGGUGCGAAAGCGUGGGGAGCAAGCAGG
This 253-nucleotide ribosomal RNA is filed under the name uncultured bacterium. Its description in RNAcentral is "partial 16S ribosomal RNA". It matches the Rfam family "Bacterial small subunit ribosomal RNA", at positions 524 to 776 of the family's 1533-position model. The record is from RNAcentral.